GCCCCAUAACACCCCUUUUUCUUUGUAUAAAAGACUUCAAUAGCUCAUAAAAGGUCAUUUUCCAAAAUUUGAGCAAUUUCUUAAUUUUUGUUCUUUGGAUUUGAGACCCAAAUAAUACCAAUGCAAAUGUAAGGUAAAAGUCUGAGUCAGCCUUUUCCCGCUUUUUUUAAAAACUCAAAUAUCUCGAAAAGGAGGUCCAUGACCUAUCAAUAUUUUUAGCUUAUUUUGUUCCUUAACUGGUACUCUUUCAAAAUGUAGUAUCAAUUUUAAUUUCUUGAUUUUUUAAAUUUCACCUAAGUACAUCUUUAAAUCUCUUUUAUCUCAGAAGGGUAACAACAAUUUUGUGUUUUUCUGUGUUACACAAUCACUCAAACUCCACUUUGUGGUGCAAUGGCAAAUGAAAAUUGUAAACAUAAGUCAUGAAUUUAAACCAAUGAAGGCUUGAGAACCUGUAAACCAAAUGUUCUCUAUGCACAAUGGUAUGUAUUUAGAGAAACAUUUGGGACAUUGAAUUCUGCAUUUUAAUGUGAGUACAUAACAGGUAUUAUUACAAACACAUUUUGAUCAUGAAGUGUGCUAAUUAUUACAAUGUGGUGUAUAAACCAGUUGUUAGAAUGUAAAAGAGUUGGUUACAUGGAUGAGAAAUAAUAAAAAUUAUUAUAAAAUGAUUUUAUAUAUUUACAAGCACAGCCUGUGAUGAGCACAGUUGAGAAAAUACUCUACAACAAUCAAUGUUAUAAAACAUUAAUAAAUUAACACUCCCAACAAUAUACAUUCAUAAACAAUCAAAGCAAUAAAACAAUCACUCAUAAAUAAACAAUCACUCAUAAAUAAAAAAAUCACUCCCAUAAAAUCAAGUUCCAGACCUGAUAAAAAAAAAAUUAAAAUCUACUGCAUAAUGAUUCAAUCAACACAAAAACAGAUUUUUUUGGGCCAAACUCUGUGUGUAAUGAGAAUGAUUUUUUUCUAAAUAAAAAAAAACAUCCUGCAAGAUGGUAAAAAAAAAUGUGUAGGACAAAAUGUCUAAAAAUAUACUUCUAUAUAUACAAUGAUAGCCAGUAUCUCCAAAAAGUCUCUAAAUUUGAUAUGUAUUUGGUCAAUCAAAUGUACAAAAUGACUGAACGAAAUGUUCCAAAUUGUAUUUAUCUCAUACUGAUUAAGGAGGGUG
RNAcentral lists this long non-coding RNA (1168 nucleotides) under Mytilus galloprovincialis (Mediterranean mussel). The record is from RNAcentral. Lineage: Eukaryota; Metazoa; Mollusca; Bivalvia; Mytilida; Mytilidae.